UCAAGCUGAAAAGAGCGCAAGGGGAAUGCCUUGGCAUCAGGAGCCGACGAAGGACGUGACAAGCUGCGAUAAGCCACGGGGAGGAGCAAAUAUCCGAUAUAUCCGUGGAUUUCCGAAUGGGGGAACCCGCUCAAGCAAUACUUGAGCAUCGUGCGUUGAAUCAAAUAGGCGUACGAAGGGAACGGCCUGAACUGAAACAUCUAAGUAGGGCCAGGAAAAGACAUCAACCGAGAUUCCGCUAGUAGUGGCGAGCGAACGCGGAGGAGGCCAAACCGAGGGACGCAAGUUCUUCGGGGUUGCGGACAGACAUCAUGACCAGAGGAAAUUAAGAGAACGGCGUGGGAAAGCCGGCCACAGAAGGUGAGAGCCCUGUAUCUGAAAAUGAAGACUGGCAGUCUGGAUCCAGAGUACCGCGGGACACGUGAAACCCCGUGGGAAACCGGGUGGACCACCAUCCAAGCCUAAAUACUACCUGAUGACCGAUAGAGGAGCAGUACCGUGAGGGAAAGGUGAAAAGGACCCCGGGAGGGGAGUGAAAGAGAACCUGAAACCUUGUGCUUACAAGCAGUCAAAGCACGUUAAAGUGUGAUGACGUACUUUUUGUAGAACGGUCCGGCGAGUUAUAGUAACGAGCAAGCUUAAGGUAUUGAGUACCGGAGGCGAAGCGAGAGCGAGUCUGAAUAGGGCGUAAAGUUCGUUGCCAUAGACCCGAAACCGGGUGACCUAUCCAUGAGCAGGCUGAAGUGAGAGUAAAAUCUCAUGGAGGGCCGAACCGACCCCCGUUGCAAUGGUGGCGGAUGACUUGUGGAUAGCGGAGAAAUUCCAAUCGAACUCGGAGAUAGCUGGUUCUCCCCGAAAUAGCUUUAGGGCUAGCGUUAUGUUAGAUUACCGGAGGUAAAGCACUGAAUGGUGGCGGGGCCGAUAAGGUUACCAAGACCUAUCAAACUCUGAAUGCCGGAUAAUUGAUGCAUAGCAGUCAGACAGCGUGAGAUAAGUUUCGUUGUCAAAAGGGAAACAGCCCAGACCCACAGCUAAGGUCCCAAAUUCAUGCUAAGUGGAAAACGAUGUGGAAUUGCGAAAACAACCAGGAUGUUGGCUUAGAAGCAGCCACUCAUUAAAAGAGUGCGUAAUAGCUCACUGGUCGAGUGACUCUGCGCGGAAAAUGUAACGGGGCUAAGUAUACAACCGAAGCUUGGGAUUGUCUAAAGACAGUGGUAGGGGAGCGUCGUGUAUGGGGUGAAGUCGCAUCGGAAGGAGCGGUGGACUGUACACGAGUGAGAAUGCCGGAAUGAGUAGCGAGAAUUAUGUGGGAAUCAUAAUGGCCGAAAAUCUAAGGUUUCUUGGGGAAGGUUCGUCCGCCCAAGGUAAGUCGGGAGCUAAGCUCAGGCCGAGAGGCGUAGGCGAUGCACAUACGGUAGAAAUUCCGUAACCACCGAAACUUAAACAGAGGGACACUUCGAAAUAGCGGAACCCGGGCGUUGGUUGACCCGGGCGAAAGGGAGCGAAAUUAGAGUAGCGAAGUCCGCGAUGUUCGGAGGCGAGAAAAGCUCUGAGGUAUGCUAAGGUGCCCGUACCGCAAACCGACACAGGUAGAUGAGGAGAGAAUCCUAAGGCCAACGGGAGAAGGGUUGUUAAGGAACUCGGCAAAUUGACCCCGUAACUUCGGAAGAAGGGGAGCCCCCUACGGGGGGUCGCAGAGAAAUGGCCCAAGCAACUGUUUACCAAAAACACAGGUCUAUGCUAAAUCGAAAGAUGACGUAUAUGGGCUGACGCCUGCCCGGUGCCGGAAGGUUAAGAGGAGAUGUCAGCGCAAGCGAAGCAUUGAAUUGAAGCCCCGGUAAACGGCGGCCGUAACUAUAACGGUCCUAAGGUAGCGAAAUUCCUUGUCAGGUAAGUUCUGACCCGCACGAAAGGCGUAAUGAUUUGGGCACUGUCUCAACAGCCCGCCCGGCGAAAUUGUAGUACUGGUGAAGAUGCCAGUUACCCGCAACUAGACGGAAAGACCCCAUGGAGCUUUACUG
This 2021-nucleotide ribosomal RNA is filed under the name human metagenome. Its description in RNAcentral is "bacterial LSU rRNA". It matches the Rfam family "Bacterial large subunit ribosomal RNA", at positions 3 to 2106 of the family's 2925-position model. The record is from RNAcentral.